AGCAGUUGUUUAAAAGUUCACCUGUUAAUUGAUAAAUCAUGGAUGUUUUUUUUUUUUUUUCAAAGAUGCAUCAGUAGUUCAGUGAAUAGCAGCAUACUUUUAUGUCAGUAGGAGCCCUUGAUUUUCCUGUAUGGUAGGAUUCUGCCUUAUGUUCAUUGGUGAAAACCUAUCAGCAAUUGUCAAGAUAAAGAACAGGGGUAAAUGUACAGUUCCUUAGUAAAAUAUAUUGUCAUUCAAUUGUAGUGUAUGGGAUAGUCAGCACCAAAUACCUCCAACAGGCCAUUUAAGCAACCAAAAAUCAAUCAAUCAACCAAAAGUACCACUAAAAAAAAUUAGGACUGAGAUACAAAGAAAACAAUUGUCCAGACCUUUUACUAAAAAAAUAUCUUGUAAGUUGAAACACUUCUUACUUUGCUUAAAUCUUGAUCAUGCAGUGAAAUGAAAAAAGGUCAAAGGAGUAAAAACAAAAACGCAAUUUUAGAAAACCAUUACGCUACAAAAGUGUAAUUUUAAUUACAUAAAAAAAGAAGAAGAAAAAACAAAGUGCAAUUAAAAUAAUACUAAGUGAAAUUAUAUCCCAAAAAUGCUUACAGUUACUGAAAUCAACUCAAAAGAAGAUAAUGUUAGUAUUAUAAAUGAACAA
Molecule: long non-coding RNA, 643 nt
Filed under: Mytilus galloprovincialis (Mediterranean mussel)
Lineage: Eukaryota; Metazoa; Mollusca; Bivalvia; Mytilida; Mytilidae
Source: RNAcentral